UCUUCUCCACAACAUCUUUGUAAGACUGUCAUUCCAGGAGAGGGCACUCACCAGCUGCGGGGCAUUACCGAUCAGCGGCAGCUGCAGAUCCUCUAAUCAACCGCAGCAGAGCUCUAUUUAAGAGGAGAGGGAACCACUUCACAUCGCUGGAUGAUUAACUACUCACGGAUACUUGGAAUCGCUGAACCACUGAUGGAUGUACCUACCUGGAAGUCACCAUAACCCGCCUGGAUUACACACUCAAGGUUCACCUCUCCUCCUUCUUCACUUGCCCUCUGCCGCCAUCAUCUGGCUCCCUCUCCUGGACGCACCCCGUCACACCGUCUGCCCUCCCUGCUGGCUUUUGGACUCUUGCCGACUACUUCACACUUGGAUAUCUCCAGGACACUUUUAGUUAGGGUUAAUAAAUCAUUGUUUGAACUUUC
Nothobranchius furzeri (turquoise killifish) is the source of this 425-nucleotide non-coding RNA. NCBI's taxonomy places the organism in Eukaryota, Metazoa, Chordata, Actinopteri, Cyprinodontiformes, Nothobranchiidae. The record is from RefSeq and is a predicted model, not a curated record.